This 245-nucleotide long non-coding RNA is filed under the name Bos taurus (domestic cattle). Its description in RNAcentral is "long non-coding RNA NONBTAT019323". The record is from RNAcentral. Lineage: Eukaryota; Metazoa; Chordata; Mammalia; Artiodactyla; Bovidae.
UCUUGCCCUAUUUCAGGCUCAACUAGCACUCCUUUGUUAUGCCUAAGCAUAUGUGUCAAUGUUAGACAGGCUUCAGUAGUUUAGACUCCAUAGAGGAGGAGAAGAGGUCCUUCUAUCGCAUCAAAAGAGGGGUGCUAGGUUAAUUAACUCUGUUUCCACUUCGAAGAGGACCUUCCAGCCAUGUAGGAAUUGAUGCCUCUAUUGGUGCAGAUCUUGCUGUGACUCUUCCUUGUUAAAGCGUUAUU